RNAcentral lists this ribosomal RNA (468 nucleotides) under uncultured bacterium. RNAcentral describes it as "partial 16S ribosomal RNA". It matches the Rfam family "Bacterial small subunit ribosomal RNA", at positions 28 to 507 of the family's 1533-position model. The record is from RNAcentral.
GACGAACGCUGGCGGCGUGCUUAACACAUGCAAGUCGAACGGAAAGGCCCUGCUUUUGUGGGGUGCUCGAGUGGCGAACGGGUGAGUAACACGCGAGUAACCUUCCCUUGACUUUGGGAUAACUUCAGGAAACUGGGGCUUAUACCGGCUAGGAGCUCCUGCUGCAUGGUGGGGGUUGGAAAGUUUCGGCGGUUGGGGAUGGGCUCGCGGCUUAUCAGCUUGUUGGUGGGGUAGUGGCUUACCAAGGCUUUGACGGGUAGCCGGCCUGGGCGGGUGACCGGCCACAUUAGGACUGAGAUGCGGCACAGACUCCUACGGGAGGCAGCAGUGGGGAAUAGUGCACUAUGGACGGAAGCCUGAUGCAGCGAAGCAGCGUGCGGGAUAAGGGCCUUCGGGUUGUAAACCGCUUUCGCCUGAGACGAAGCGUGUGUGACGGUAAUGGGUAAAGAAGCACCGGCUAACUACGUG